GCAUAUAAAUGGCUCCAACUACUAAAAGCUGAGGGAUUUUGUCCACUUAGGACUUGCUGCACAGAUACCAUGCCCUACACACUGCUCUACACACACCACAUUCCCAAGCCUUGGCACCUGUCAGUGACCACCUGCAAUAGCCACCCGUGCCUCUCCAGCUCCAUCCUUCCUGUUCCCACACUCAGCAAAGGGACGGAAACUGAGAAAGCCAGAAGAACCCAGAGCUCGUUAGAAAAUCUAUCAUGGACCUACCCUUGAGCAGGCAAAUGACCAAGGCUGCCCUCCGAAGCACAUCCCGGAGGAACUGGAAGACCUGGGAAACCAUGCUCAUCACACCUCCUCCAGCUUGAUAUCUUCUGAUAUCCUUCGCUAAAAAGGAUCCUUUGUGCUUAUCACAGUAAUGAUAGAAUAUGUAGGUAUCCAAGUGUUCAUUUUCACAAAGUCUCCAGCCCAGUUCAUUAAAAGAUUUCUUCAGGGUCAUCUAAAGGAACCAGAAAGAAUAGAUACAUUCAGAGACUUGAAUUGAACAUUCUUGCAACAAUUGGGUGAUCAAGUUGCCUACAGUUUUUAAAUCACUUGAAUGAAAAACAAAACUAAGCCUAAAGUCUAAAUGACUGUAGUCUACACAGAGAUAAUUUGUUAAGAAUGACUAAAAAUUAGUUAUCUCAAGGUACAAUCACACAAACCCUUACCUCACAAAUUUAUUUAUUUUUUUCCCUCCCAAGGCAGGAUUUCAGUCAUAGUAA
This is a long non-coding RNA of Suricata suricatta (meerkat), 746 nucleotides long. RefSeq lists it as uncharacterized. The transcript has 3 exons. NCBI's taxonomy places the organism in Eukaryota, Metazoa, Chordata, Mammalia, Carnivora, Herpestidae. The record is from RefSeq and is a predicted model, not a curated record.